UGCAGUCACGUCAAAUUCGGCGCCUGCCCCACCCAUGGCUAGUGCUGGUCCAAAUGGCUGCCAUAGGAAAACUGUGAUUCAUGGCCCUUGGGCCCCUCCUGGGCCUCAGGGAUAAGUUUGGUCACAGACACCC
Suncus etruscus (white-toothed pygmy shrew) is the source of this 133-nucleotide small nucleolar RNA. RefSeq annotates it as small nucleolar RNA SNORA5. The record is from RefSeq and is a predicted model, not a curated record. The transcript has a single exon. NCBI's taxonomy places the organism in Eukaryota, Metazoa, Chordata, Mammalia, Eulipotyphla, Soricidae.